Molecule: ribosomal RNA, 482 nt
Filed under: uncultured bacterium
Lineage: Bacteria
Description: partial 16S ribosomal RNA
Rfam family: Bacterial small subunit ribosomal RNA
Source: RNAcentral
AUUGAACGCUGGCGGCAUGCUUUACACAUGCAAGUCGAACGGUAACAGGCCGCAAGGUGCUGACGAGUGGCGAACGGGUGAGUAAUGCAUCGGAACGUGCCCAGUCGUGGGGGAUAACUACUCGAAAGAGUAGCUAAUACCGCAUACGAUCUAUGGAUGAAAGCGGGGGACCGUAAGGCCUCGCGCGAUUGGAGCGGCCGAUGUCAGAUUAGGUAGUUGGUGGGGUAAAGGCUCACCAAGCCAACGAUCUGUAGCUGGUCUGAGAGGACGACCAGCCACACGAGGACUGAGACACGGCCCAGACUCCUACGGGAGGCAGCAGUGGGGAAUGUUGGACAAUGGGCGCAAGCCUGAUCCAGCAAUGCCGCGUGCAGGAAGAAGGCCUUCGGGUUGUAAACUGCUUUUGUACGGAACGAAACGGCUCUGGUUAAUACCCGGGGCUAAUGACGGUACCGGAAGAAUAAGCACCGGCUAACUACGUG